GCAUUUUGCUGCUGGGUGGGCUAGGUAACAACAUCACCUGGUUGCAGAACUGCUGGUAUUGUCUGGAGCAGCUGCAACAGAGGGAUCUUUCAAGUAAUGAGGAUGAUGCCCACUUGUGUGUGAGGGUGGAGGGAGCUGUGGAUCUGUCCAGAACCGACAUUUUUCUUCCACUUUUAUUUUCAACAGCUGUGUUUUGCAUCCAUUCCCUGGGACAGGUGGCUAUGAGCUGCAGAUCCAGUGCUUGUUCCCUCUAAAAGGAGAAGAGAAAGGGAUGAACAUCUUGUCUCUCCACUGCAUAUACUGCACUAUGCUCUCUUGCACAAUGGUGGCUUUCAUGGCCAGUCAAAGAUUGGCUGAAUACCUUCAAUGUGAAGGAAACCUCCGGUUCUUGGGAACACAAGUGCCACAUUCUGCUGCUGUAGCUUUCACUAGGGCAGCUGGAGUGGGGAAAAUCCGGUCACAGCCUUUAGAAGAGAAUGGAUUUAAACCUUAUAUCAUCAGCCAAGUGUCAAAUCCAUCCUCACGCUCAUCUAUGCAGCUUGUUUCUUAUGCCAGCUACCUUCUCUUUGUUUCUCCUGCCCUGAGCCUAGGCUCUUGGCAGCCAACCCAUAAAUUAAAACCUACAAUCUACAUUGCAACGUAAAAGAUGGCUUCUCUUAUCUUAACAGUUCAGCAGAUUUCUCCCAUCUGACAUAGGCUGUAAAGAGAGAUCUCAUCUGAGGAAGUCCUGAUUGUCCCAGGUUUCAACUCAGACCAAAACACAAGUCACCUAGCCAUUUACACACAUAGCCCUUCCCAGCUGCAUCAUUUCCCCUUUGACAGACUUGUCCCUGGAAUGAAUGGCAGUAAACUGGAAUGAGUCAUGAUUAACUUAUAGAAGCACACAGCAUUGUCCAGGGGAAAAAUGUGACAUUUUCUCUCUCAUAAUUCACAGGUACUUAAAUUGGCACAACAGACUUUAUGUCUGUAAGAUCCCACAACAAAAGGCUUUCUUCCCAGAGCAAUGUGAUGUCUGUUUAUGUCUAUAGCAUUAAUAAAGUAAAUCCAACCUCCAGCAACCUCUGACCCAAGCCCUGCUUAAAAGACUGGUGAAAAUAUGUAUAGAAUGAAUUAGUUCCAUACA
Long non-coding RNA from Alligator mississippiensis (American alligator), 1123 nucleotides. RefSeq lists it as uncharacterized. Lineage: Eukaryota; Metazoa; Chordata; Crocodylia; Alligatoridae. The record is from RefSeq and is a predicted model, not a curated record. The transcript has 3 exons.